CCCCUAGAUGUUCUGGGCCGCACGCGCGCUACACUGAACAGUUCAACAAGUCUUAACCUUGGCCGAUAGGUCUGGGUAAUCUUUGAACGCUGUUCGUGAUUGGGAUAGACCUUUGCAAUUAUGGGUCUUCAACGAGGAAUUCCUAGUAAACGCAAGUCAUCAGCUUGCAUUGAUUACGUCCCUGCCCUUUGUACACACCGCCCGUCGCUACUACCGAUUGAAUGGUUUAGUGAGAUCCUUGGAUUGGUCCCGGGAUGGUGGGAAACUGCCGCUCCGGUGUGCUGAGAAGACGAUCAAACUUGAUCAUUUAGAGGAAGUAAAAGUCGUAACA
Molecule: ribosomal RNA, 331 nt
Filed under: uncultured eukaryote
Lineage: Eukaryota
Description: partial 18S ribosomal RNA
Rfam family: Eukaryotic small subunit ribosomal RNA
Source: RNAcentral